GCUCUAUAACCCUUUGUGAACAUACCUACAACUGUUGCUUCGGCGGGUAGGCCGUCCCCUGAAAAGGACGCCUCCCGGCCCGGACCGGACCCCCUGUGGGGCCGGACUCGGCGCCCGCCGGAGGAUAACCAAACGCUAUUUUAACGACGUUUCUUCUGAGUGGCAUAAGCAAAAUAAUCAAAACUUUUAACAACGGAUCUCUUGGUUCUGGCAUCGAUGAAGAACGCAGCGAAAUGCGAUAAGUAAUGUGAAUUGCAGAAUUCAGUGAAUCAUCGAAUCUUUGAACGCACAUUGCGCCCGCCAGCAUUCUGGCGGGCAUGCCUGUUCGAGCGUCAUUUCAACCCUCAAGCUCUGCUUGGUGUUGGGGCUCUACGGUCGACGUAGGCCCUCAAAGGUAGUGGCGGACCCUCCCGGAGCCUCCUUUGCGUAGUAACAUUUCGUCUCGCACUGGGAUCCGGAGGGACUCUUGCCGUAAAACCCCCCAAUUUUUCAAGGUUGACCUCGGAUCAGGUAGGAAUACCCGCUGAACUUAAGCAUAUCAAUAAGCGGAGGAA
This 554-nucleotide ribosomal RNA is filed under the name fungal endophyte. RNAcentral describes it as "eukaryotic LSU rRNA". The stretch from base 182 to 335 matches the Rfam family "5.8S ribosomal RNA". The record is from RNAcentral. Lineage: Eukaryota; Fungi.